GGUUUGCUCCCUAUGUUCAAGGCUGAUUUGCAUCUACAGAAUUGUGAUUCUGAGGCAUCUGGAGGAACAGCUUGAGAAAAUCUGCCUGCUUAUGGCAGGAGAAGCAAUGAACAUCAUGUACUUUAGUACUUCUGAGAUAAAACAGAAGGGGGAGAGCUGCACCAUGAAGCUCCUCAAGCUUGUGGCUUCUGCAUCUCACUCCUGCUGGCUCCUUUCCUCCCUCAGCUUUCUUCCAACAGUGUUGGCAUCUUCUAGAAGCUGAAAGACAGAAAACCUGCUAGACUGAGUGCUGCAUCUGCUUCUAUACCACAGUGAUUCUAUAAAGGCUCACAUCAGAGGGGUUUGCUCUGAGUACAACGCUUCUCAAGCUGGGUUUGAUGGUCCUGUGUCUGUUGUGUGACUUUCUCAGGAGCAUUGUGGAAAAUCCCACAGAUAAACUGAAAAUACAACUAAAUUAAUAAAAACAUAGUUGUAAUGGAAAGAAGCUACAAACCCUGUCAAAGGCUCCAAUUUUACAUUUCUACUACAGCCAGUUGUCUCACACCACUGCCUGGAAAGGAGGUUCCUGUCCAGCUUCCUCUGUGGUCAUGGUUGCCACAGGACAACCGAGACCUUUGGGAAAUGAAAAGAUUACCCGUAAGUGUUGGGGUGUGGUGAAAAGUCUCUGAUGGUGCCCGCCUUCUCUCUCUUGAGCAGCUCUCAAGAAGUACCUCCAUCUCAGGCCUUGAGAUCAUAUUCCCUUGGCAGGGCUUGUCCCAUCCCUGCAGUCCUACCAAACCAAAGCAUCCUGAGCAUGAUCUGCCACACUGCUUUUCUCUUACAAGAAGUAGAUGUUCAAAUAUGAAUUCUAACUCUCAUGCUUACAGGGUGGGAGGUCAGUCCGUAUUACGUUAGGCUGUGAUGCAGAGUCUCCAGAUGUUCAGACCCUCAUGUCAAGAGGCUCUAGCCAAAUAUUAUAUGGCUUCAGCUUUAAAAAAUGCUCUAAGACCGCAUUUUGUAGGCAAUUUUACUUUUCAUACAUUCUGGGGAUGAUUUUUCUGGGCUGCAUUUUUAUGUUUCUGCUUUUAAGGUUGUGGGUGGGUGCUGGUUAUGACAAUUUGUGUCUGGUAUUUUGGUAUCCUGGAAUGUUUGCUUUUAUGGUAUGUGGAUGGGAACUAGUUGCAUUCCACAGAGCUAUUUGUUGUAAAAUUGUGGGGUAUAAAUAGGAUUGAGGGAAAUGGUACACUAGUCUCUCGUGCUUAAAUGGCCACUUUGUACAACAGUGCCAUGAACUGGAAACGUAUGUUUCAGGAUCCCUACUGGAUUGUGGUCUCUACAAUCAUAAUUAGUAUCUAUCUAUGAUGUAUUGGGUUGUUCCUUGAGGGUUAUUUUUGAAGCUUUUCCUUUCAAGAGCAACUUCAAUGUUACCUGCCUAAUUCCAAUGGUAUGGUCUUUCCAUCUGCAGAGAUUGAAGUGUGUUGAUGAAACACUGACAAGGAUUGGCAGAUGUCUGCUAUGGGCAUGAAACAGUAUUUUGGUUGGCUUGCUGUGUGAGUGGGAGCUAUGGAAGCUUGCAUUUUGCAGGAUAUAAUUCCAGCAAAUAUUUUUUGUAGCAGAUAUUUCAACAUUUGAACUUGGUAGCAAAAAUUCAGAGGCAGUGUCUCAACUAUGUUCCCAUCCUGUGAAUUCUGAUGAACUAAAAUGUUUUUCGUUCUUCAUCAGGGAUAAAAUGAACAUCUUCUAGAGUUUGUAAUGAAAAAUGUGAGACAGAUCAUGAGAAUAAUCAAUAACCUUGGCACUGGGGCACUUUCCUCAGAGUCAAAGAAGUGACCUAAAUUCAAGUGCUUGGUCUGACUUUGCAGAGUUGGAGCUUUCAAGAUAGUCUUCAUGUCUCAGAUUAAUGGCAUGAUCAGUCUGUUGCUCUGGGUCAAAAGUCACUCAGUUUUGACCAGCAACCCCAUGCUGAAGUUGUCAAGAAGUUUAUAAAAAGUUUUGAGAGGUUUUCUGGAUUUAACCUUAGACAUGCAAAAAAAAGUUCAUGCAAGCAGCUUUUUCCAGUCCUCAGAUUAAAAGCCACUGGGUAAUUGCCGACUUGUUCAAGCCCUGUCCCUGGGAGCUGCCUAAAAAAAAAAGUCUUUGUUUUGCUCACUUCAUGUCCUCAGCUUGGGAGAUUGAAUCUAAUUUUCUAAACCAUCUGUUAAAGCAGCUAAACGUUAGCAACAUAAACAUACAUCUGAUUUCCAGGAAGAGCACAGGCUGUUAUCUAAUUAUAUUCUCUGUGCUGAAUCGGAGUGUUCCUGAGUUGUUAAACAAGUGGCUUUUCUCGUUCUUAGUGAUAUUUGGCACUGAAUCUUGACAGAUAGGUUUCUGCAGGCUGUAAAUAACACAGGGACUUGAGACCAGUAAUGAUAAAAAUUCAUGAGAGGACUGGCUGCCCACACAGGAGUACAACACCCUGCGGAGAGCUAGAGCAUUAUUUAUGUUGUAUUUUCCAUAUUGUUUUCUGAGUGCUAGGACCAGCUGCUUUCUAAAUUUCAUAAUUAAUUUCUGAAGAUGUAAGGUUAUGCUCUUUAAGUUACAUCGUCAUCAGAUGAAUAAACACAGUCCGCAUGCAAAAACUGUUCCUUCCCAAACAUCUUACUGAGUUUUCUUGUAGACAGGUAUGUUUAGCAUCAUCAAGUGGCCACAACUUCUGCUUUUUAUAUCUUUUUGUAAAGCUUCACCUCACAUAAAUAAGUAGACUACUGUGACUCAAAAAUCAAGAGAAAGAAACGCAAGUAUAUUUAUGUAGCAAAGUUCAACAGACUUCAGUUUUAACUGUCAAGCACUCCAUAUAGAAAGUAAGCCUAUUCCAGAAGGUUUCCUGUCUGAAAGACUUAAUUGCAGGCAAUUUAUUCCCCAGCAGAGUACAGAAAGUUCUGUUCAUUUCUCAUAUCCCUUUAAUGCUGACUUCUGUGCAUUUCCCAUGUGAAGUCAUCCAAAUAGAUUUGCAAACUCUCUUGAUUUCACACAAAGAUACUGCCCUGGGAUCCUGGCACCUACAUGAGACAAACACCCACCAGUGCUUCUGAAUCAGAGGAGCUUACUGUACUCCCUAUCCGCCCGCUGGUGCUCUGGGUGGCCUUGGCUGAGACUGGCUUACCAUACAAGGCACGGUACAAGCAGAAAGGAAAAGACAGACUGUCAGAUAAAAACGUGGUGGAAAGGAGGAGUGAUGCUCAGAGGUGCACAGAGAUUAAACAACUGGCCAGUGGUCACCCCUUAAGAGGAGUGUGAAUCACAUCCAAACCUGUGAUAAUGGCACCAGACCUCCUCUCACUGUCUACCAACACUCCUGACAAAAUGCCAUCAAGGGAAAGCACAAAUUAUUGAAACUGAAUCUAGUCUGUGCUUGCAUCGUGAAAUGACAGCUUCCUCUCUGGUUUUGUUCCAUGGUUCCUGUUCUUGCAAGCCAAAUCACAGUGAACCAUAGCAGCGAGUCCAUUUAGUGACUCUUGGAGUGAAAAUAAAAAUCAUGUUUAAUUUCAUGAAGUUUUCAUGAGAAACAACAAUUGUAAUUAGAAGGCAGGAAAGCUAUUCAGAUGCCUGAAGGCUUAUGCUGGGAGGCACCCCACUGUGCCGACUUCAA
Non-coding RNA from Phalacrocorax carbo (great cormorant), 3607 nucleotides. NCBI's taxonomy places the organism in Eukaryota, Metazoa, Chordata, Aves, Suliformes, Phalacrocoracidae. The record is from RefSeq and is a predicted model, not a curated record.